CCUACGGGAGGCAGCAGUGGGGAAUAUUGGACAAUGGGGGGAACCCUGAUCCAGCGACGCCGCGUGAGUGAAGAAGUAUUUCGGUAUGUAAAGCUCUAUCAGCAGGGAAGAAAGACAUGACGGUACCUGACUACUAAGCCCCGGCUAACUACGUGCCAGCAGCCGCGGUAAUACGUAGGGGGCAAGCGUUAUCCGGAUUUACUGGGUGUAAAGGGAGCGUAGACGGCGAUGCAAGUCUGAAGUGAAAGGCGGGGGCCCAACCCCCGGACUGCUUUGGAAACUGUAUGGCUGGAGUGCAGGAGAGGUAAGUGGAAUUCCUAGUGUAGCGGUGAAAUGCGUAGAUAUUAGGAGGAACACCAGUGGCGAAGGCGGCUUACUGGACUGUAACUGACGUUGAGGCUCGAAAGCGUGGGGAGCAAACAGGAUUAGAUACCCCUGUAGUC
Molecule: ribosomal RNA, 443 nt
Filed under: uncultured bacterium
Lineage: Bacteria
Description: partial 16S ribosomal RNA
Rfam family: Bacterial small subunit ribosomal RNA
Source: RNAcentral